UAUGGGUUGUAAACUGCUUUUAAGGGAAUAAAGUGAGCCUCGUGAGGCUUUUUGCAUGUACCUUAUGAAUAAGGACCGGCUAAUUCCGUGCCAGCAGCCGCGGUAAUACGGAAGGUCCGGGCGUUAUCCGGAUUUAUUGGGUUUAAAGGGAGCGUAGGCCGGAGAUUAAGCGUGUUGUGAAAUGUAGAUGCUCAACAUCUGCACUGCAGCGCGAACUGGUUUCCUUGAGUACGCACAAAGUGGGCGGAAUUCGUGGUGUAGCGGUGAAAUGCUUAGAUAUCACGAAGAACUCCGAUUGCGAAGGCAGCUCACUGGAGCGCAACUGACGCUGAGGCUCGAAAGUGCGGGUAUCGAACAGGAUUAGAUACCCUGGUAGUCCGCACGGUAAACGAUGGAUGCCCGCUGUUGGUCUGAAUAGGUCAGCGGCCAAGCGAAAGCAUUAAGCAUCCCACCUGGGGAGUACGCCGGCAACG
This 473-nucleotide ribosomal RNA is filed under the name uncultured Bacteroidota bacterium. Its description in RNAcentral is "bacterial SSU rRNA". It matches the Rfam family "Bacterial small subunit ribosomal RNA", at positions 417 to 893 of the family's 1533-position model. The record is from RNAcentral. Lineage: Bacteria; Pseudomonadati; Bacteroidota.